CCUACGGGGGGCUGCAGUGAGGAAUCUUGCGCAAUGGGGGAAACCCUGACGCAGCAACGCCGCGUGAGUGAGGAAGGUUUUCGAAUCGUAAAGCUCUGUCAGGUGGAAAGAAAUGUCUGUAUGCGAAUAACAUGCAGACUUGACGGUACCACCAGAGGAAGCACCGGCUAACUCCGUGCCAGCAGCCGCGGUAAUACGGGGGGUGCAAUCGUUCUUCGGGAGCAUUGAGCGUAAUGAGCGUGUAGGAGGCGAAAGCCCUGGGCUUAACGCAGGAAGUGCAUUUGAAACUGUCUGGCUAGAGUAAGGAAGAGGAAAGCGGAAUUCCUGGUGUAGAGGUGAAAUUCGUAGAUAUCAGGAGGAACACCGGUGGCGAAGGCGGCUUUCUGGUCCUAUACUGACGCUGAGACGCGAGAGCGUGGGUAGCAAACAGGAUUAGAUACCCCGGUAGUC
Molecule: ribosomal RNA, 450 nt
Filed under: uncultured bacterium
Lineage: Bacteria
Description: partial 16S ribosomal RNA
Rfam family: Bacterial small subunit ribosomal RNA
Source: RNAcentral